RNAcentral lists this ribosomal RNA (253 nucleotides) under uncultured bacterium. RNAcentral's name for it is "partial 16S ribosomal RNA". It matches the Rfam family "Bacterial small subunit ribosomal RNA", at positions 524 to 776 of the family's 1533-position model. The record is from RNAcentral.
AACGUAGGAGACAAACGUUAUCCGGAGUUACUGGGCGUAAAGGGCGUGUAGGUGGUUGUGUAAGUUCGGCGUGAAAUCUCUCGGCUUAACCGGGAGUGGUCGUCGGAUACUGCACGACUAGAGGACGGUAGAGGCGUGUGGAAUUCCGGGUGUAGUGGUGAAAUGCGUAGAGAUCCGGAGGAACACCAGUGGCGAAGGCGGCAUCCUGGACCGGCAUUGACGCUGAGGCGCGAAAGCCAGGGGAGCAAACGGG